This 222-nucleotide long non-coding RNA is filed under the name Lathyrus oleraceus (garden pea). Its description in RNAcentral is "Pisum sativum (pea) long non-coding RNA (PSAT_LNC016233)". Lineage: Eukaryota; Viridiplantae; Streptophyta; Magnoliopsida; Fabales; Fabaceae. The record is from RNAcentral.
AUGUUUGCACAAAAUAAGUUGACUUGGGUUAGGGUGGAGAGAAAAAGAGAAAGGCUAGGUCCUAAACAUGAAAAGAUGAGAGAAGAGAAAUAAAACCCUUGGAGUUCCUUUCUUGAGAUCAUAAAGAUGAUCCAAGUUGCUCUUUUCCUUUGGACUUAGCAAGCAAUAAGCAAUUAACUCAAGCAAUCAAGCAAAUAUUCAAUCAAGCUCCUAGGAUCUUCC